Molecule: ribosomal RNA, 495 nt
Filed under: uncultured bacterium
Lineage: Bacteria
Description: partial 16S ribosomal RNA
Rfam family: Bacterial small subunit ribosomal RNA
Source: RNAcentral
GACGAACGCUGGCGGCGUGCCUAAUACAUGCAAGUAGAACGCUGAAGGAGGAGCUUGCUUCUCUGGAUGAGUUGCGAACGGGUGAGUAACGCGUAGGUAACCUGCCUGGUAGCGGGAGAUAACUAUUGGAAACGAUAGCUAAUACCGCAUAAUAGUAGAUGUUGCAUGACAUUUGCUUAAAAGGUGCAAUUGCAUCACUACCAGAUGGACCUGCGUUGUAUUAGCUAGUUGGUGGGGUAACGGCUCACCAAGGCGACGAUACAUAGCCGACCUGAGAGGGUGAUCGGCCACACUGGGACUGAGACACGGCCCAGACUCCUACGGGAGGCAGCAGUAGGGAAUCUUCGGCAAUGGACGGAAGUCUGACCGAGCAACGCCGCGUGAGUGAAGAAGGUUUUCGGAUCGUAAAGCUCUGUUGUAAGAGAAGAACGAGUGUGAGAGUGGAAAGUUCACACUGUGACGGUAGCUUACCAGAAAGGGACGGCUAACUACGUG